This 498-nucleotide ribosomal RNA is filed under the name uncultured bacterium. RNAcentral describes it as "partial 16S ribosomal RNA". It matches the Rfam family "Bacterial small subunit ribosomal RNA", at positions 29 to 523 of the family's 1533-position model. The record is from RNAcentral.
AUUGAACGCUGGCGGAAUGCUUUACACAUGCAAGUCGAACGGCAGCACGGGGCAACCUGGUGGCGAGUGGCGAACGGGUGAGUAAUACAUCGGAAAGCGCCCAGUAGUGGGGGAUCACGUAGCGAAAGUUACGCUAAUACCGCAUACGACCUAAGGAUGAAAGCGGGGGAUCGCAAGACCUCGCGCGAUUGGAGCGGCCGAUGUCAGAGUAGAUCGUGGGUGGGGGAAAGGCCCACCAAGCCGACGAUCUGUAGCUGGUCUGAGAGUACGACCAGCCACACUGGGACUGAGACACGGCCCAGACUCCUACGGGAGGCAGGAGUGGGGAAUUUUGGACAAUGGGCGAAAGCCUGAUCCAGCCAUUCCGCGUGCAGGAUGAAGGCCUUCGGGUUGUAAACUGCUUUUGUACGGAGCGAAAAGGCUCUCUCUAAUACAGGGGGCUCAUGACGGUACCGUAAGAAUAAGCACCGGCUAACUACGUGCCAGCCGCCGCAGUAA